Molecule: ribosomal RNA, 489 nt
Filed under: uncultured bacterium
Lineage: Bacteria
Description: partial 16S ribosomal RNA
Rfam family: Bacterial small subunit ribosomal RNA
Source: RNAcentral
GACGAACGCUGGCGGCGUGCUUAACACAUGCAAGUCGAACGGUGAAGGGAUCAGCUUGCUGGUUCUGGAUGAGUGGCGAACGGGUGAGUAACACGUGAGUAACCUGCCCCCUUCUUCUGGAUAACCGCAUGAAAGUGUGGCUAAUACGGGAUAUUCUGGGUCUGUCGCAUGAUGGGUCUGGGAAAGAUAUUGUAUCGGUGGGGGAUGGGCUCGCGGCCUAUCAGCUUGUUGGUGGGGUGAUGGCCUACCAAGGCGGUGACGGGUAGCCGGCCUGAGAGGGUGGACGGUCACACUGGGACUGAGACACGGCCCAGACUCCUACGGGAGGCAGCAGUGGGGAAUAUUGCACAAUGGGCGCAAGCCUGAUGCAGCGACGCCGCGUGAGGGAUGGAGGCCUUCGGGUUGUAAACCUCUUUCGCCAGUGAAGCAGGCCUGCUCCUUGUGGGUGGGUUGACGGUAGCUGGAUAAGAAGCGCCGGCUAACUACGUG